Molecule: ribosomal RNA, 458 nt
Filed under: uncultured bacterium
Lineage: Bacteria
Description: partial 16S ribosomal RNA
Rfam family: Bacterial small subunit ribosomal RNA
Source: RNAcentral
CCUACGGGCGGCAGCAGUGAGGAAUAUUGGUCAAUGGGCGCGAGCCUGAACCAGCCAAGUCGCGUGAGGGAAGACGGUCCUAUGGAUUGUAAACCUCUUUUGUCGGGGAGCAAAAGACGCCACGUGUGGCGUUCCGAGAGUACCCGAAGAAAAAGCAUCGGCUAACUCCGUGCCAGCAGCCGCGGUAAUACGGAGGAUGCGAGCGUUAUCCGGAUUUAUUGGGUUUAAAGGGUGCGCAGGCGGAAGAUCAAGUCAGCGGUAAAAUUGAGAGGCUCAACCUCUUCGAGCCGUUGAAACUGGUGUUCUUGAUGGAGCGAGAAGUAUGCGGAAUGCGUGGUGUAGCGGUGAAAUGCAUAGAUAUCACGCAGAACUCCGAUUGCGAAGGCAGCAUACCGGCGCUCAACUGACGCUCAUGCACGAAAGUGUGGGUAUCGAACAGGAUUAGAUACCCUUUAGUC